CCCUUCUCAGGGUCACACCUGGAGAGGUUCCAGGACUCUACCAGUCUCGGCUACGGGAGGGAGAGUCAAGCAGAGGCAUACCCAUUCCAUUCCUAUCGUGGCCAGUGGCUAGUGAAUGGAAGGCAAUCUGCUACAAGU
Non-coding RNA from Ornithorhynchus anatinus (platypus), 138 nucleotides. The record is from Rfam. Lineage: Eukaryota; Metazoa; Chordata; Mammalia; Monotremata; Ornithorhynchidae.